Molecule: ribosomal RNA, 466 nt
Filed under: uncultured bacterium
Lineage: Bacteria
Description: partial 16S ribosomal RNA
Rfam family: Bacterial small subunit ribosomal RNA
Source: RNAcentral
GACGAACGCUGGCGGCGUGCUUAACACAUGCAAGUCGAACGGAAAGGCCCUGCUUGUGGGGUGUUCGCGAGGGGCAAGCGGGUGUGUAACGCGGGAGUAACCUGCCCUUGACUGGGGUAUACCUGGGAGACACGGUGGCAUAUAGGAUAGGACAACGCCGUCGGCGUGGUGGUGGUAAGAUAUUUUCCGGUUGGGGAGGGGCACGCGGCUUAUCAGCUUGUUGGUGGGGUAGUGUGCUACGAAGGCGUUGAGAGGUAGACGGCCUGUGAGGGUGAACGGCAAUAGUGGGACUGAGCUACGGACCAGACUACUACGGGAGGCAGUAGUGGGGAAUACUGAACAAUGGGAGGAAGGCUGCUGCAGCAACGCCGCGUGCGGGAUGACGGCCUUCUGGUUGUAAACCGUCUUCGCCUGUGAAGCAGCGUGAGUGACGGUAAUGGGUAAAGAAGCACCGGCUAACUACGUG